AGACCGAUAGCGAACAAGUAGAGUGAUCGAAAGGUUAAAAGCACCUUGAAAAGGGAGUUAAACAGCACGUGAAAUUGUUGAAAGGGAAGCGCUUGCGGCCAGACUCGGGGGGCGGGGUUCAGCGGGCGCUCGUCGCCCGUGCACUGCCCGCUCCCCGGGCCAGCAUCAGCUUCGACGGCCGGUCAAAGGCCCCCGGAAUGUGUCGUCUCUAGGGACGUCUUAUAGCCGGGGGUGCAAUGCGGCCCGUCGAGACUGAGGAACGCGCUCCGGCUCGGAUGCUGGCGUAAUGGCCGUAAGCGACCCGUCUUGAAACACGGACCAAG
This 323-nucleotide ribosomal RNA is filed under the name Trichophyton rubrum. Its description in RNAcentral is "LSU rRNA". It matches the Rfam family "Eukaryotic large subunit ribosomal RNA", at positions 331 to 670 of the family's 3401-position model. Lineage: Eukaryota; Fungi; Ascomycota; Eurotiomycetes; Onygenales; Arthrodermataceae. The record is from RNAcentral.